Molecule: ribosomal RNA, 239 nt
Filed under: uncultured Glomus
Lineage: Eukaryota; Fungi; Glomeromycota; Glomeromycetes; Glomerales; Glomeraceae
Description: partial 18S ribosomal RNA
Rfam family: Eukaryotic small subunit ribosomal RNA
Source: RNAcentral
AGCAGCCGCGGUAAUUCCAGCUCCAAUAGCGUAUAUUAAAGUUGUUGCAGUUAAAAAGCUCGUAGUUGAAUUUCGGGGUUAAUAAGUUGGUCGUACCUAUGGUAUGUACUGGCUUUAUUGAUUCCUACCUCUUGACGAACUGUGAUGCCAUUAAUUUGGUGUUGCAAGGAAUCAGGACUGUUACCUUGAAAAAAUUAGAGUGUUUAAAGCAGGCUUAACGCUUGAAUACAUUAGCAUGG